This 254-nucleotide ribosomal RNA is filed under the name uncultured bacterium. RNAcentral describes it as "partial 16S ribosomal RNA". It matches the Rfam family "Bacterial small subunit ribosomal RNA", at positions 524 to 776 of the family's 1533-position model. The record is from RNAcentral.
UACGUAGGGUGCAAGCGUUGUCCGGAAUUAUUGGGCGUAAAGAGCUCGUAGGCGGUUUGGUAAGUCUGGUGUGAAAUCUCCACGCUCAACGUGGAGGGGCCACCCGAUACUGCCAUGACUGGAGUCCGGUAGAGGAGUGUGGAAUUCCCGGUGUAGCGGUGAAAUGCGCAGAUAUCGGGAGGAACACCCGUAGCGAAGGCGGCACUCUGGGCCGGUACUGACGCUGAGGAGCGAAAGCGUGGGGAGCAAACAGG